GCCUGGGUGGCUCAGUGGUUGAGCAUCUGCCUUCAGCUCAGGUCGUGAUCCUGGGAUCGAGUCCCGCAUCGGGCU
Molecule: non-coding RNA, 75 nt
Organism: Canis lupus familiaris (dog)
Lineage: Eukaryota; Metazoa; Chordata; Mammalia; Carnivora; Canidae
Source: Rfam